Gorilla gorilla gorilla (western lowland gorilla) is the source of this 4043-nucleotide long non-coding RNA. RefSeq lists it as uncharacterized. NCBI's taxonomy places the organism in Eukaryota, Metazoa, Chordata, Mammalia, Primates, Hominidae. The transcript has 4 exons. The record is from RefSeq and is a predicted model, not a curated record.
ACUUGUCUGACUCUUAUCUGAUCGGCUACUCUGCUAUUUUAUAUAGGAAGAUUUAGAUUCCAGGAACCCUGGUUAUCUCAAAGUUUGGAUGAGCACAACAGGCUUCUGCCAUCAGGUUAAGUUUCCUGGAGAAUUCUGAAGGAUAUACCCCCUUCCUCUCCUACAGCACAGAGUUGUUCUGUGCACUUGGAUCAGCCUCCACAACUUCCCCCCGGGACAGGGCACCCAUCACCAUCUCCUACCUGGACAACAGCAAACACUGCCCCCGUGACUUCCUGGUGCCAUCGUUGGCUCCAUUAUGUCCGUUCUCCAGUGGCUGGCAGAGUGAGCUUGAAGAACGUGUGACACGCCCUUCAGAAUGUUCUACUUCCUGUUCCAGAAGGACAGCCCCUCAUGCCUUCCUGUGGGCCACACGCCACCUCUUCCUCAGUGCCCCAGCCUGGCAUCCUCUUCCUGCAUUCAGCCUUCUUUUCCGAGGUGUCAUCUUGCUGGAGGGCAGAAGGAUUCCCUGGAACCUGGGGGCCAGCAGGACAGAGGAAACAGAAAGUACAUGACCGAUGAUGUCUUUCGACCACAGAAAGGGCUGGAAGAAGCAGGGGACCUACUGUUUGAAUAAACCCAGUGGAAAAACAGAAGCCCCAUUUCAUACUUGAUUCAGCUCUUCAAGUUUAAAUCUUGAAUCUCCUCAACUACACGGAACAGUGUCUCUCCCAAGUCAUCUGACACUCACUCUGUUCUCUGGAUCAUUCCUUCCUAGAGAACGUUGCUCUUGGAGGGCUGUGAUCUGCUCUUACCCACUUGCCUUUCUGACCCACUGAGUGCAUCUCCACAGUCAUUUGGGGUGAUCUGAUCUGACCAGGAAGGGUUGGGUGGCUCGUGGAGCUUGGGAAGCACUCUCACUGUGGCGGUCCCCAUUGGUGGUCACGGGGUUGCCACAGUGAGCUACGUUUCUACCCUCAUCUCUCUAUAUGUUACCGUGGAAUCUCUGACUGAGGACCCAUGGGCUCACCCAAUGUGAUAAAGUCCUGAAGCUCAGCCAGGACGUCCGACCCCAGCUGCAGGACUUUCCAAUAGAUAGAUGCAUACAACUUGAGAAGAAAUUGACUUAGAAACCUGAAGUUGGAAAACGGGUUGCCUGACAUUCUGUGCAAGACUGAAUCUCUGAGAAAUGAAGGCUGUGUAACUUUGGGACCAUGUCUUUUCCAGCCUACAUAGACCCCAGGAAACUUUGCAGUUGUUCCCCAAGUAUGGAUGGAGUCAAACUUGAUGUCCUUUCAUCCCCCCAUCCCAUCCACUAAUCCAUAUCCUUUGGAAAUUUUAGAGUGCCAGGCCUCAUGUAAAUACACCAAAACAAUUUAAGUCAUUUAUGUUCUACUAAGCCAAGAGUUCUUUAGUGGUGGAAGAAGAUGGGCUCUUACACGAAUGGAAGGGUCUUGGCUAUUUGCGUCGGUAUCAACAGAAGGACUAGACGCUUGCACUAAAAGAAAAAGCUGAGGGAUGGGGGCAGGAAGCGGGAAGCUGGGACCCAAGCCCCACCUUCCUGAGUUGGAAGGUGACAGGUAGACUCCUGCUUGUUUGCCGGAGAGGCCUGGCAGAGGAGGUGCAUCCCAGCACAGAAGGGCAGCACAGAGGCAGCCUGAGAAGAUUCUGUCGCUGCCAGGUCACCAGGACCUCUGGACCACAGCUGGGUUGCGCUGUUUUCCAGUUUGUGAAACCAGGACUUUGAGGAACAUCCUGUGAAUUGGUGUAAUUUUGAUUUUCCUGGAGGAUUUUUGAGGUCAGCAUGACUGCUGUCACUGUAAGUGUGGGUGUGCUUUCCCACAAGAAGCAUCCUGAGUCUGCGGGAAGGUGGGGACUUCCCAUUUUGGGGGCCUGAGGGUCCCUUCCAGGGAGCUGCAGUGACCGAGCCACCUGGGUCUCGUCCUCAUUAAGGAAAGCAUGCUGCAGGUGAUGGUGGACAAGCGGCGCUUUGUUGCUGCCUUUCCCUCAAGGGACUCAGGGCUCUUCAAAGGCGGCUCCCUUUGAUUGCCCCACCCCCACGUUAGGGGACUGUCCCUAGCUUUUCAUUCCGUGGUUUUGCUUCCCAGGCAGUGACUGUUCUGAGGAACCUAUUCGUCCACAGCCCCACUUUCGCCUCUAAAAGGAGCUGGAAUGGCUCCUUACUGCCCUCCUGCCAGGCCCUCGACUGAAUCCAAUAUAGAGACCUUUAUAGGCACUAAUUAUAACCAAGGACUGCAUGCUGUGUUUUAUGGGCAAGUCUUCCCUGCUCUGUUUAACGUCCUAGCAGAAACCUCAUAACAAAUUAACAUUUAUAUGGGCCCGUUAAUCUUCAAAGCGUUUCACUGACUUGAGUCAAUUCCAGUGACCCUCGUGGGCAGUAAUAAGCCUUUUAGGACUCCUAUCCUUUUCCCUUCUCCUUCUACUUCUUUGUAGAUAAAGAAAAAACAAACCCAGAGAAACGUGUCAUGCUCUGUGCGAGCUCCUGCAUCAGAGCUGCGGGUGGGUUUGGCUGGGCGGUGUUCCAGGCGUCUGGUUUCAUGCUCUGACCAACACACACCUCCCCUCAAAGCUGCUGUGGAAGGGCUCAAAGCCGCGUUUCAUUCCCAAAGCCUUUGACUAACUCUGAACAAGCUGCUUUUCAUUAGGCAUGCACACAAGCCUGCACACGCACGUGCAUACAUGCAUGCACACACCUCUCUCAAACUGGAUAAGAGGUUUCUGUGUGAGGGGUGGGGAAUAGAGGGAGCUGGAAUUCUCUGCAGAGCCCAUGUCAGCUGAGCAGGGUGUGUACUGGCCGCUGGGUUCAGUGUGUGUUGACCAGGGGCCAGCCCCCUUCCUGCUUCAGUCCAGCUCAGGUGUCAGUUGACGGCUUGUGUGUGCGGAGCCAGGCUGAGUUAUAGAGCCUUAUACUUUAUUUCCAAACCUGCAAUUCCACCCGCGUUUUUGUCAGUUAAUUACAUACAGAGCCCCUUUGUUUGCAGGGAAAUAUGUGAGCGGAGUUCUUUCUUUGUGGGUGUGGAUGAGGCAGCUCUCACUCCUGCGAGGACGCGUCCAGCUCCUUGAGGAGUACGGUGGCAGGGAAGGGGACAGCACUGUCAUGGAGUCAGAUCUGAAUCACGUCCACGGAGCGGUUUACUUUGGGAAUUACCUCCUAUACAUUUCAAAUUCCAUGUUGGUCCCCAUUUGCUACUCUUUCAGAACUAAAAUAAAAUCCGAAGUCCCCCAAGUGACUGAACAGACUCCCUCUUGGCCAAGGGGACCCCAGAGAAACCUGAAAGCUGAGCUCCCAGCCACGAGGGGACGGGCGAUCGGACACGCUUCAUCACAGUCCCUCCCCUUUGUGGUUUAGACGACGAUGAUUGGCUGUCAUGCUAAAAUAGAGACAUGAGACCGACAGCACAGACUCCUUAUGGCAAUAAGACACCAAAUUAUAAGCAGCACCUCAGGCCACGCCAGGCAAGGGUCAAGCCGCGCACUCUACACUUAGAGAACGGGCUCUGCUCUCACACACAGCGCCUUCUUUUUCUCCAGCAGCUAAACACGCACCGGCCCCGAGAUUCAAACGACUGCAGCUCAUCCACCUGCAGACGCUGGCUGACCCCGUUCCACAGCUGUGACUAUAGCUUUGAUUGGACGAGAGGCUGAUUUCAGUCUCCUGGUAAGAGACCGCCAACCAUAGACCUGGUUCAGGCUGAUUAUGGAAGCUGCACACUUGUAUGCCUUCGAGUCCCUGCCUCACCUUUUGACGUGUAGGGACUCAUUGUAAUGCUUUUAAAUGUGAAGCCUCCACCCCAAAGUGAACAUGGGACGCAUGUAACGUGCAUGUUCAGUGGGCACGGCUCAGGACUCUCUUUGUGAAUAUUCAUAGCUCCUCCUGGAACCUGAAUAUGUAUGUUUGGCCAGCUCAAUUCAGCAUGAGGCUCCUGCCGCAACGCCCCCUCCUUCCAGGUGCCUGCCAGCUGUUUCUGCCAGAGGCUGCGUCUCCCGGCCUGUCAGAAUGGCCACCCUGCAGGCUGUAAUCCUUUAGAAGAAAUAAAGAUCCC